This 636-nucleotide ribosomal RNA is filed under the name uncultured bacterium. RNAcentral's name for it is "bacterial SSU rRNA". It matches the Rfam family "Bacterial small subunit ribosomal RNA", at positions 60 to 691 of the family's 1533-position model. The record is from RNAcentral.
AGUCGAGCGGUAGAGAGGUGCUUGCACCUCUUGAGAGCGGCGGACGGGUGAGUAAAGCCUAGGAAUCUGCCUGGUAGUGGGGGAUAACGCUCGGAAACGGACGCUAAUACCGCAUACGUCCUACGGGAGAAAGCAGGGGACCUUCGGGCCUUGCGCUAUCAGAUGAGCCUAGGUCGGAUUAGCUAGUUGGUGAGGUAAUGGCUCACCAAGGCGACGAUCCGUAACUGGUCUGAGAGGAUGAUCAGUCACACUGGAACUGAGACACGGUCCAGACUCCUACGGGAGGCAGCAGUGGGGAAUAUUGGACAAUGGGCGAAAGCCUGAUCCAGCCAUGCCGCGUGUGUGAAGAAGGUCUUCGGAUUGUAAAGCACUUUAAGUUGGGAGGAAGGGCAUUAACCUAAUACGUUAGUGUUUUGACGUUACCGACAGAAUAAGCACCGGCUAACUCUGUGCCAGCAGCCGCGGUAAUACAGAGGGUGCAAGCGUUAAUCGGAAUUACUGGGCGUAAAGCGCGCGUAGGUGGUUCGUUAAGUUGGAUGUGAAAUCCCCGGGCUCAACCUGGGAACUGCAUUCAAAACUGUCGAGCUAGAGUAUGGUAGAGGGUGGUGGAAUUUCCUGUGUAGCGGUGAAAUGCGU